This 596-nucleotide unclassified non-coding RNA is filed under the name Hevea brasiliensis (rubber tree). Lineage: Eukaryota; Viridiplantae; Streptophyta; Magnoliopsida; Malpighiales; Euphorbiaceae. The record is from RNAcentral.
UAGAGGAAGGGUAGUGACUAGAAUUUGACCACAACAUUAGAAAAUAAGAACCAGCAGGUGGACUCUAAUUUCGUGAGGGCCAAAAAUAACCCAAUUGUUGACCAACAAGCAAAAGGAAAUGAAGCAGAGGAUAAAGAAGAUGAUGAUAAUGAACAAGAAGUUGCAAGCUAAGGAGCCAAAAUGGAUGAAGAUAGAGAAGACAGUGAAACAUUUUUGUGGUGGUGGGGAGACAAAGGUGGGGAAGAGGGAGACUCCAAUGAAAAUUUUUCAUGGCAAAAUCAAAGGUUCCCAGAUUUCACACUCCAUGGUGUCCAGACACUAAAUUCACCUCUGAACCUCCCUUUCAUCUCUGCAGCUUUUCACUAUGGAUUUUGUUUUUUCAAAUUGCAUAAUCGCAUUAUGAAUCAAAAUAAGGCUUCUUUACAGUGUGUAGGCAAGUCUAGUGCUUCCAUGAAGCAGCUUGACAUUGAGCAUAGAGUUUGGGUCUGGUGGUGUUGGGGAAAGAGGAAACAUGUGGUAUGAGAGGUUUGGAAGAGGCUAUUAUUGCGGUGAGGGUUUGGGAGAAGGAGAUAGAUUGGUUGGGUAGGUGAAGAGGA